This 64-nucleotide transfer RNA is filed under the name Asteronotus hepaticus. Its description in RNAcentral is "tRNA-Leu". Lineage: Eukaryota; Metazoa; Mollusca; Gastropoda; Nudibranchia; Asteronotidae. The record is from RNAcentral.
AUUGACUUGGCAGAAGAAAUGCGAUUGAUUUAGGAUCAAUUUAUAAUAUAUAUUAAUAUUAGUC